GAGUAUGGCACGAACCCUUAUUUAUUUUCGGAUCAAGCACGUGCAUAAUGUUUGUUCCCCCACGUACACGCCGAGAUGAUGAUGCAGGUAAUGAACAAGCAUUUGCAUCAUGGCCCGGCAUACAGGUGAGCCGGAAGCCAAAUGUUCAAAAUGGAACACACACUGUGGGAUUAUGUUCAAGCUGAUCCUGUCCAACUGUGCUACAGCUUGAACACAACCAGAGCGAAGGCGAUGGAGUCAUGGAGCAGGCUCGGUGGUGCAGGUUCUCAUGAUGGCUUAACUGCGCACGAUGCAGAGUAUUUGGAAUCGAGAAUCUACAGUCGACGAUGGCCUGGCUGCCUCCUGUGGACUGAACUGGGCACACAAGGUGGGUUAGACAACUACUGCGCACUGACCAGCUAGGCGACAUCAAGGCCGGCGUCGACAUAGCUAAGCCCGACAUCGUAGUGAGCUCCGUGUGUAGUUUUGUUUGUGUGAUUACGUUCAUGAGAUGUAUUGAGUUCUGAAUUAUUUCUUUGACUUCUGUUUCCACAUCGCGGUGUGCAUGAAGCAAUAAAAACACUUGCUUGCAUCCGAUCGUGUGUUGAAUUUCUGAAUGUACUGAAAAGUGAUGAUGAGUUCUUGCUAUGUCGAUGGGUGAAUGUUUGGCUUGUAUGAAGUUUCAAUCCAUUCAGAUUCAACAUUCAGGUUUGUGAGGUGUUGAUUUUGUGGAGUUCAUAUGUUAAUCCAUCUAGUCAGCUACUAGCUUUGCCUUUUAAAAAAAAUUCUUCACAUCUUACUAGUUUUCCUUCGGCCACAAUUUGUAGACUUUGUUCAUUCUUGAUAAAUUAAAGGCACGUAGCAGGCUAGCAGCUAAUACCAUGACAAUUCGAGCAAAAGCAAGUUCUAGAGUCCAAUGUCCUUUUUGUAUUGAGCGGCUACAUAAGACAGCAGAAGCGUGUUCAAUUGUUGCUUCCUAAGGCUAAGAUCUGGGCGUUAGGAUGUGGGACGCCACAGUAAGGCAGCUCGGCAUUACGUUUUGGUACACCCAGGUAAGGCAGCUUGGCGUUAAGCCUCACCACACCAAGCUACGGACUCAGGCAAUCCGGGCGGCCACGCUGGCAUUGACGUGGAAAUAGUUGGCAUGAGUUUGUAGUACCUCGGCGUUAACAGACAGCACGCCGAGUUUUUGGGUCCAUUUUUAGAAAUAGUUCUAUCAGGGGUCUAUUUGUAAAAAUUAUUUUCUGAAAGGGCCAGUUCGAAAAAAACCACAGCGCUAGGGCCUCUCCCGCUCUUGCUGCUCGUGCUGUCGAGCUUCGGCCUAGCGCCGUCCUGGCCAGUGGCCAUCUUCGGAGAUGGGCCGGCAUGUCGUCGCCUCACGCCGUCACGCGUCUACCUCUGGUUCCCGAGAAAAAUUGAGCCGGGAUGGCUGAAAUCGAGCGGAGGAUUCUUGCUUUCUUGUCGCGUGUAGGCAGAAUAGUUAGGCGAAGGCUCUUGUUGACUGUUGUCUGUGUUCGGCCGCCUGGACGCCUGGUCGGCGACUUGGCGUCGCCUAGGCGGAGCCGCGACAAACUGACAACUAUGCCAUGUACUCAAUCAGUUAUUGGUCCCUACCAUCUAUAUACAAUGACUUAUAUGCAACGGUAAUACUUAUUCUUAAAAAUAUCGGACGUUCUAAUGUUGCAAUAGUUAAGUACCGAUGUUGCAACUAUUGUAUUCGCAUGUUUUACAGUGAAUGUUGCAUGAACAUUCAUGUUGCGGCAGAAAUUUUCUAUUCCAGAGUCGAACGACGUUGUCAUUUUUACAUAUUAUUAUUCAUAUUGCAAAUAGUGACCGCUGAUGUUGCACUAGGUAAUUUUUAUGUUUCGUCGGAACAUCCGACGUUUGGGCGCUAGCAGCGCCGUAUAUGCAAACACUUUUUCAUGCUAACUAAAAUGAUUUUAUAAUUUCUUUGAUAUCGAAAUACCAAAAUCUCAUACUUACUAGAGAAACAAUCAUCUAUUUGGUCAUUUAAAAGCUGGAACAGAUAAGUCAUGUAUACUAGCACGAGCACGAACCGGCAUGAAAAAUUCAUUACCCAUGCUAGCUCUAUGUGCCGUCUCCCAACAAUAGCCGGCAAGGAUACUUUUAAGAUUAUUUGCCGGCUCUAUUAAGAGCCAGUGUGGAUAAUUUUUUUCGCAUUUGCAAUUUGAAUUUCAUGUGCUAUUUAGGAAUUUGCAAGUUUUAUAUAUAAACUUGAAUGGAGAUAAGCUUUAUUCGCAAAUGGUAAAGAGAACUAUAUUUUUAGUUGAAUUUUUUUAUUUGAAGUUGUCUAGGUGGCCAGACAGUGGACCAACAACAAGAGUCAAAAGCAAUAGAACUCCCUAUCGUGUGCAGCAACGACGUAUAUAAGUGGGAUGAUAUGGAGGGAUCGCUCGAUGGGCAAACAGUGAGUUUGUUUGUAAAUUCGUGUUCCAACUACGCUACUCAAGCAUGGCAUAUCUUACUCAUAGUGUCCCUGUUGCGGGUCAAUUAAAACUGUCGUACACUAUUUAACUUAUUGUCUUCGUGCUGUGCUAAUAAUUCGAUCAGUUGUCACUCAGAGUGGGGUUUUCGUUGUUUACCUUUCAAAAUUAUUCGUGAUGUUAAGAUCGACAAUCGCACCAAUCAUUAGUGGAAGUAGCUAUCAGGUUGAUUAGGCGACAAAGGGAUUUUGUGUCAUUCAGGACGAUGGAACUUUUUUCAGAAAAAUGGUAGCACUCAAUUUUUCUCUGUCCAUUUGAUGGUUUGACACUACAACAUACAAGUACUACACCGGUUGCUAGAACUGUAAAAUUUUAAAGAAUUAGAAUUGAGGCCAACUAAAAGAGCGAAUUCCUUAUAUGCCACUAAAUAUUAAUUACCCUUCACCGCUUCGUACCAUUGCAAAUUUAGUCUUUCUCUGAGUUGCGCAUCCUAAUUUUUUCAAUAAAUUUCUAAUUCUUAUGCCUUUCAAAAUUACUACUCUGUGCGGAAGCACGAGUUGAUAGACCACUAUACACAAUCAAAAUCAAGCACAAACACCAAAAAGAGUCCCAACCGAGUAUGGCACGAACCCUUAUUUAUUUUCGGAUCAAGCACGUGCAUAAUGUUUGUUCCCCCACGUACACGCCGAGAUGAUGAUGCAGGUAAUGAACAAGCAUUUGCAUCAUGGCCCGGCAUACAGGUGAGCCGGAAGCCUGGGCUCUGGGACGGCUUCGAGCGGUACCAUGCGCGGCAUGGACAGCCCGAACUUCUCCUCCAUGCUCAACUCCUCCUUCACCAUG
This 3263-nucleotide long non-coding RNA is filed under the name Setaria italica (foxtail millet). RNAcentral describes it as "long non-coding RNA (SITA_LNC007181)". Lineage: Eukaryota; Viridiplantae; Streptophyta; Magnoliopsida; Poales; Poaceae. The record is from RNAcentral.